UUUUGUACUGAGGCAGAAUCCAUUACGCGUCUGUUCUUUGACUGUUUAGUAGCUAAGAACGUUUGGUCCUGCAUUAAUGAGUUGUUUGGUGUUCAAAUUGGGACCGAUAUUGAAUCGGUGGCUAGACUGUGGGUCUCUAAUAAUCGUAACUCGACAUUGAACAUUGUUAGUUCAGUAGUACUUUGGUGUCUUUGGAAGUGUAGGAAUUCUAUGAUUUUCAAUAACACCACCUGGAUUUCUUUCAAUCAGAUACUGAGAUCCAUCUUAGACACAGUCAGGAAUUGGGUUGCCUUGUCUCCGGACUUGUGCAAGGAAAGACUAUUGGCCUUUGCAGCACAGCUCGCGAGAUUGCUUCUAAAACCGCCGUUGAUCACCUGUGGUUGA
RNAcentral lists this ribosomal RNA (384 nucleotides) under Triticum aestivum (bread wheat). RNAcentral describes it as "partial small subunit ribosomal RNA". Lineage: Eukaryota; Viridiplantae; Streptophyta; Magnoliopsida; Poales; Poaceae. The record is from RNAcentral.